UACAAUUCAGGGCACAUUGUGUGAAAAUGCGCAAAGUAAUAUUAGCGUGAUGGGGAGGGGACAAAACCUAGCGCCAGUAUCCGGAGUACAACAACACGCUUUGUAGCUUGUAGGAUAAAACCAGGACUACUUAAGACUAGGAGUCCAGACUCCAGAAAGAAAGGAGGUCUCUCAGGGAAGGCGGAAGCCAUCGUGAAGACUACUGUAGAGAAACCCGAGGCUUCAGUCUGCUACGUGAUUAAUACAACCAAGACCAUGUAGCUGAUAACCCGUAAAGCCCAAUCUUGCGGGGAAGGACGGAAGGGAAACACGGAGCACUGAACUGGUAACCUGAACUGAUGUCUUUGAAGAUUUAGCUACCAGCAGACAUUUGAACACCAGGUUUCCUUUCCGAUGUAACCCACAUAAUCCUGGAAAGAUUUUGCACAAAG
This is a non-coding RNA of Labrus bergylta (ballan wrasse), 431 nucleotides long. The record is from RefSeq and is a predicted model, not a curated record. Lineage: Eukaryota; Metazoa; Chordata; Actinopteri; Labriformes; Labridae.